GGGGAACAGAAAGGCCAGGCGAAAUGCCUGGACAUCACAAACCCUGUCCUUCAGUGGGGGGGGGAGGGUGGGCAAAUUGCUGGACACUGCAAACCCUUUCUCUCAGAGCGGGGGGGGGGGGGGGGCUAGGUGACCUGCUGGACAUCGCAAACCCUGUCACUUGGCAGGGGGGCGACAGGCUGGACACUUCAAACCCUGUCUCUCGGGGGGGGGGUGCUGGGCGACCUGCUGGACAUCGCAAACCCUGUCACUUGGUGGGGACGACUGGCUGGACACUACAAACCCUGUCAUUCAGUUGGGGGACGAGGGUAGGGCAACUGCUGGACAUUGCAAACCCUGUCACUUGGCGGGGGGGGUGGCGACAGGCUGGACACUGCAAACCCUGUCUUUCAGGGCGGGGGGCUGGGCGACCUGCUGGACAUCGCAAACCCUGUCACUUGGGGGGGGCGACUGGCUGGACACUACAAACCCUGUCAUUCAGUGGGGGGGCGAGGGUGGGGCAACUGCUGGACACUGCAAACCCUGUCACUCAGCGAGGAGGGCGGGGGCAGGAAGGGCAGGGUGAAUGGCUGGACAUCACAAACGCUGUCUCUCAGAACGGGGCGGGGGGGCUAGGUGACCUGCUAGACAUCACAAAUCCUGUCUCUCAGAGUGGGGCGGGGGGGCUAGGUGACCUGCUGGACAUCGCAAACCCUGUCUCUCGGGGGGGCGGGGGGGCUGGGUUACCAGCUGGACAUCACAAACCCUGUCACGUGAGCACAGGGCCUGAGUCUCUCUUGGGUUGGGACCAUCUUUCUGAGGAGGCACUGUGACAAGCCAGGGGUGGGGUGGAAGAUGUGUCAGCGAGGGUCACCAGAGGCCCAGGAGGGGCCACAGCCUCCCUCACUGCCCAGGGCACGGGGCACCCCCACCCCAGGCAGCUGAGCCUGCUGCCCGCAGGGACCACACCAGGACACGGGGACGUUCACUCCUCCUCCCGGCCUCAUUUCCCCAGGUCAGCAGGAGGCAGGCAAUGAGGGUGAUCUCUGGGCUGCCCGUGACCCCACACCUCACAGGGCAGGCAGGCAGUGCUGAUGCCACGGCCCCUGGGACGGGCCACCUCGACCCGGAGGGUCAGCUCCUCUGGCCACGGGCCAGGGAGGGAAGUUGGAUACCAGGGAUGCAGUGUUCCUGAUCAAAGCUCCAGAGAGAAGCAAUGGCUGUAAGAGCAUGUGUGUGCACACAUGUGUGCAUGGGAGCAUCUGCUUUUGCAAGUGUGUGCACACGUGUGUGCAUGCACUAUAUGUUUAUGUUUGUGCAAGUGUUCACCCAAGUAUGCUUGUGUCUGCGUGCUUGUAUGUGCAUGUUUGUGCAGUGUACUGUGUACAUGUGUGCAGGUGCACAUGUAGUGUGCACCUACCUGUGUGCAUGUGUAUGUGCACAUGGGUGCAUCUUUGCUCUGUGUUCUUCAAUGCAUGUAGUAUGCACACGUCAUUUUGUGGGCAUGUGUGUUGUGCUAUGUGCAUGUGUGCACAGGUGUUAACUGUGUGGGGGAUGCACGUGUUUCAUUAUACCAUGUGUGUACGUAUAUGCAUGCACAUAUUAUGAAUUGUGUGUUUUGCUACAUGUAUGUGUGUCUGUGUGGGAUGCGCAUGUUGCAUUGUGUGUACUGUAUAUGUAUAUUAACAUAUUGCAUGUUGUGUUAUAUGUACAUUUCUAUGUACAUGUGUGCAUGUGCCUGGGUGCAUGUGUCUGCGUGUGUGUUGUGUUACAUGUAUUGUACACACAUGUGUCCAUGUGGGUGUACAUGAUGUGUGUAGUGUGUUGUGCUGU
Molecule: long non-coding RNA, 1812 nt
Filed under: Oryctolagus cuniculus (rabbit)
Lineage: Eukaryota; Metazoa; Chordata; Mammalia; Lagomorpha; Leporidae
Description: lncRNA (ENSOCUG00000039492.1)
Source: RNAcentral